UAAUGUCCAUGGUUAAUGAAAU
RNAcentral lists this microRNA (22 nucleotides) under Anopheles gambiae (African malaria mosquito). Its description in RNAcentral is "aga-miR-10370-3p". The record is from miRBase by way of RNAcentral. Lineage: Eukaryota; Metazoa; Arthropoda; Insecta; Diptera; Culicidae.